Tyto alba (common barn owl) is the source of this 1628-nucleotide long non-coding RNA. RefSeq lists it as uncharacterized. NCBI's taxonomy places the organism in Eukaryota, Metazoa, Chordata, Aves, Strigiformes, Tytonidae. The record is from RefSeq and is a predicted model, not a curated record. The transcript is spliced from 2 exons.
GGAUCCCUUCCGGAGCAACGUCCCGUCCCGGGCAACCGCACGGCAGCGAGCCGCCGGGACUCGCCAGAACCACGGGAUCUGCACGUGUAACACCCACCGCUCGCACACCGAGAGCCGGCUCUGCGCCAGGCUCCUCCGAGCCGCGGGCUGGGAACGAGCGUCUCGCCCGACCACCCUGCCAGAUGCACCAACCAUCAACGCCCUGAGCUGCCGCCCUCUGUAAGCUUAUUUCUUCAAGCAGCAAAAACGCACGUUCAAAUAGUUCAACCGUCACGUUUCCCCCAAACCCGACAGAGCGCAGGCGCGCGCCGCUCGAGCCACGGCACGGCGGCUUCGCUGCUGCCUUUUCCGUUGAGAACGGCCCUUGUUUUUUUCCUGGGGAAAAAAAGGUUUUUCUCACUGCACCAGGGUAACGACUCACGAUCGGCAGAAAGGAGCUCGGUGCCUGCAGGCCCCGCUCCGCGCAGGUGAAAGCUGCGAUGCCACGAGUCAGCGCACCAACUGUUUAUUUUCCUUUUACACCUACUUUAAAUAGAAGCUUUUGUUCUACUGAAACUAUUAAUCUGAGUCUUACCAUGAGGCUUUUUUUUUUUUUUUUUUUUUAUAUAUUUUAAACACUCUGAAGAAGCGAAAAAGAAAAAAAUUGCCACGAUGCUUUAAAGUCCAACUUUAAAGGGGGAAGCAAGGCGCAGCAGAAAGCGAACCCCAACCCAAACCAAAGAGUCCGGCUGGGGCGCAGGAACGGGAGCGACCGCGAUCCAGCCUUCGCCGAGGCUGGAAACACGCAGGAAGAAGAAAUUUGACAUCAUCAGCGAUCUGAUGUGGAGGAUUCCAGCCGUCAGGUUUGGCUUUUCCGGCUACGCGACUUAAGCCGACGAUAACAUCUUUAUUAGCCUCGCAAUUCAAAGCCGAAAAUCAUCCCCCCCCCCCCCCCCGCCCCCAGUCCCAGGCAAACCCCGUCGCGGGACUCACCCCCGCGCGCGCGGCGCCGCCGCCGUGAGCCCAUUUCACAGCUGGGUAAGCGGAGGCACGGCGGCAGGGCCGGGCCACGCUCUCCCCCCGGUGUAAUCCUGGGAGGAUCCGUCCCGUUACCGCGCUCUUUGCGUAAGCGACUCCCACGACACGGCGUCGGUGCAAAGACAUUUCCCUUAAGCAUGGGAUUGUCGGAGAUGCUCGAGCCGGUGAGUCACCGCCAGCCUCCUCGCCCACAAGGGAAGCAUACGGAGUCCACGGGAACCUGUAAUUAGCCGGACGAGAAACUCCCUUUCCUCCCGAGAUUAAGACGGGCAAACUCUUAGACUUGUUUUUUAAGCUCGCGUACGGCCAAGCACAGCCCCAGCCCCAGCGGUCAGGCACAGAUCUGCGUGCUAACACCCCUUCAAACAGCCACACACGACAAAUAAAUAAUAAAUAAAUAAAUAAGAAAGCAGCUUUUUUUUUUUUUUUUUUUUUUCACCCCCCCCCCGAAAGGCAAAAACCCUCAGCACGAGGACGAAGGCCGGCAGCGAAGCUCGCCCCGGUUCGAACGCAACACACGGGAUCGCAAAGCCACACGGAUUUCCAGGUCGCAAUCCUCUUUGGUACGCAGCGGAGGAGAAGUAACCAGAUUAUAAUUAUUUGGCCCCAAA